GAUGAACGCUGGCGGCGUGCUUAACACAUGCAAGUCGAACGGAAAGGCUCCUGCUUGCAGGGGUACUCGAGUGGCGAACGGGUGAGUAACACGUGGGUGAUCUGCCCUGCACUUCGGGAUAAGCCUGGGAAACUGGGUCUAAUACCGGAUAGGACCACAUCUUGGAUGGUGUGGUGGAAAGUUUUUCGGUGUGGGAUGAGCUCGCGGCCUAUCAGCUUGUUGGUGGGGUAAUGGCCUACCAAGGCGUCGACGGGUAGCCGGCCUGAGAGGGUGUACGGCCACAUUGGGACUGAGAUACGGCCCAGACUCCUACGGGAGGCAGCAGUGGGGAAUAUUGCACAAUGGGCGCAAGCCUGAUGCAGCGACGCCGCGUGGGGGAUGACGGCCUUCGGGUUGUAAACUCCUUUCGCUAGGGACGAAGCGUUUUUGUGACGGUACCUGGAGAAGAAGCACCGGCUAACUACGUG
RNAcentral lists this ribosomal RNA (467 nucleotides) under uncultured bacterium. Its description in RNAcentral is "partial 16S ribosomal RNA". It matches the Rfam family "Bacterial small subunit ribosomal RNA", at positions 28 to 507 of the family's 1533-position model. The record is from RNAcentral.